Molecule: microRNA precursor, 95 nt
Filed under: Marmota monax (woodchuck)
Lineage: Eukaryota; Metazoa; Chordata; Mammalia; Rodentia; Sciuridae
Source: RNAcentral
UCUUUCUUUAACACACACACACACACACACACAUAUGGUAAAUCAAUUAUGUGUGUGUGUGUGUGUGUGUGUGUGUGUGUGUGUAGGGAGAGAGA